RNAcentral lists this ribosomal RNA (258 nucleotides) under uncultured bacterium. Its description in RNAcentral is "partial 16S ribosomal RNA". It matches the Rfam family "Bacterial small subunit ribosomal RNA", at positions 524 to 776 of the family's 1533-position model. The record is from RNAcentral.
AACGUAGGUGGCGAGCGUUAUCCGGAUUUACUGGGCGUAAAGCGUGUGCAGGCGGUUCAACAAGUGGGGUAUGAAAGGUGUCGGCUCAACCGAGAUAGGUUAUGCCAGACUGUUGGACUAGAGUGUGAGAGAGGGACGUGGAAUUCCGGGUGUAGUGGUGAAAUGCGUAGAGAUCCGGAGGAACACCGACGGCGUAGGCAGCGCCCUGGCUGUGAAUAAAGCUGACACUGAGGCACGAAAGCUGGGGGAGCAAACAGG